ACGCUGCGGGGAGGAGGGGACACCGGUCAGCAGCGCCGCGACCCUGCCCUACGGCCCCGCGGCCCACCAGCCCCGUCGAGCCGCCGCGUCCACUAGCUCCCAGCCUCGCGGGACGCCUGUGUUAAAGCAAGUCCGUCCUGGCUCUCGAAGUGCAAUCUUGCAUUUCUGAGGUGACAGAGGGGGUCACGACAGCAGAGUGCGGGGGAGAGGAAGAGGUGGGCGAGGCGGCAACGCGUGGGGCCACGCCGCUGAACCCCAGGCCAUGACGUGCGAGAAAGCCUCCGGCCGGCGCGCGGUGCUUGGUGGGUUCUCAGCAAACACUGCUGAAUGAAUAAAUUAAUAAAGUCUCUGGAACCCGGCA
Molecule: long non-coding RNA, 361 nt
Organism: Neofelis nebulosa (Clouded leopard)
Lineage: Eukaryota; Metazoa; Chordata; Mammalia; Carnivora; Felidae
Exons: 2
Source: RefSeq, a predicted model, not a curated record